AGUGAACGCUGGCGGUAGGCCUAACACAUGCAAGUCGAACGGCAGCACAGUAAGAGCUUGCUCUUACGGGUGGCGAGUGGCGGACGGGUGAGGAAUACAUCGGAAUCUACUUUUUCGUGGGGGAUAACGUAGGGAAACUUACGCUAAUACCGCAUACGACCUACGGGUGAAAGCAGGGGAUCUUCGGACCUUGCGCGAUUGAAUGAGCCGAUGUCGGAUUAGCUAGUUGGCGGGGUAAAGGCCCACCAAGGCGACGAUCCGUAGCUGGUCUGAGAGGAUGAUCAGCCACACUGGGAGUGAGACACGGUACAGACUCCUACGGGAGGCAGCAGUGGGGAAUAUUGGACAAUGGGCGCAAGCCUGAUCCAGCCAUACCGAGUGGGUGAAGAAGGCCUUCGGGUUGUAAAGCCCUUUUGUUGGGAAAGAAAAGCAGCAGGUUAAUACCCCGCUGUUCUGACGGUACCCAAAGAAUAAGCACCGGCUAACUUCGUGC
Molecule: ribosomal RNA, 493 nt
Filed under: uncultured bacterium
Lineage: Bacteria
Description: partial 16S ribosomal RNA
Rfam family: Bacterial small subunit ribosomal RNA
Source: RNAcentral